AGUAAUUAUUGUUCAUUCAGAUUACCAUCUUAAUCUGAUAAAAAGCCAAACGCUAUAGUGGUAUAAUAGCUUUCAGAGAUAUAUACUUUUGAAAGUUUGAAAUCGAAACCUUCCGCCGGGAAGGCUUAUAUAUAAAUCGGACAAGUUGCGUCUUUAAUCAUUCAAGUACUAACCUCCACAAUUUGGUUCUGUUGUUCUUAUUGGAAGAAAGACUUAAGCUAACUCGCAUUCAAAACAUUUGAUCCUUUAAGAUGACAUCAACGAAAUUCAUUUUGGCAAUUUUUUUCUUGGCAAUGAUAACAAGCUACACUUACGCAGCGAAAAAUUGCCCACAUACGCCAAGAUGUCGUUCAGUCUACGAUAGAUGUCUUCAGUAUUCCCAAGGCUUUGCAGCGUCGACGGCUUGCCAAGAAUCUUUCAAAAGUUGUAUGAGUCCCUGUACUUCGGGCAAAAGGAGUUUCUAUCCUUAUGAAAUAAACCCCCGAUUCAGACGAGAAUGGAGCAUGUAACAAGUUGAAGAAAGAACAGAAACGUACAAAUAUAACAAAUUAGAACUGACAUAGAAUUAUUUAGAUAUAUAUUUAAAGUAAUUAUCGUAACCAGACUUGUUCGUACAGCUAAUUGAAUAAUUUAAAUUUUAGGCCUAGAUUAUCCACUAAUAAUAAAUUACAUUAGAUCAGA
Molecule: long non-coding RNA, 681 nt
Organism: Xenia sp. Carnegie-2017
Lineage: Eukaryota; Metazoa; Cnidaria; Anthozoa; Malacalcyonacea; Xeniidae
Exons: 2
Source: RefSeq, a predicted model, not a curated record